UAAGAUGACAAACCAUCCUGGUUUGCCUGGGACUGAGGGGUUUGACUCCCAGUGCUAAUACUGGGACAGUCCGGGCAAACUGGG
Molecule: microRNA precursor, 84 nt
Filed under: Choloepus hoffmanni (Hoffmann's two-fingered sloth)
Lineage: Eukaryota; Metazoa; Chordata; Mammalia; Pilosa; Megalonychidae
Description: miRNA (ENSCHOG00000014067.1)
Source: RNAcentral